Molecule: long non-coding RNA, 1079 nt
Organism: Amphibalanus amphitrite
Lineage: Eukaryota; Metazoa; Arthropoda; Thecostraca; Balanomorpha; Balanidae
Exons: 2
Source: RefSeq, a predicted model, not a curated record
CUCUACCUCACAUUCAGCUGAGCUCCCUCCAGUGAACUGAACUCCAAAGCCACCGAUAUGAAGCUGAUUCUCCUCACUUGUCUGGUGGCUGCGGCUGCUGCCUCCGGCGGAGGAAUCGGUGGAGCUUUCGGAGGAGGCGCCUUCGGUGCCUCUGGCUUCAGCCGCCUCGGAGGCAUCGGCUCAGCUUUCGGAGGCAGCCAUUAUGGAGGAUACGGACGUCGCUUCGGAGGCGGUGGAGCUUUCAGCCAGCUUGGAGGAGUUGGAGGUUUCAGCCGCCUUGGAGGCAUUGGUGGAGUUUUCGGAGGAGGAUACGGACGUCGCUUCGGAGGCGGUGGAGCUUUCAGCCAGCUUGGAGGAGUUGGAGGUUUCAACCGCCUUGGAGGCAUUGGUGGAGUUUUCGGAGGAGGAUACGGACGUCGCUUUGGAGGCGGUGGAGCUUUCAGCCAGCUUGGAGGAGUUGGAGGUUUUAACCACCUUGGAGGAGUAGGAGGUUUCAACCGCCUUGGAGGCAUUGGUGGAGUUUUCGGAGGAGGAUACGGUCGUCGCUUCGGAGGCGGUGGAGCUUUCAGCCAGCUUGGAGGAGUUGGAGGUUUCAACCGCCUUGGAGGCAUUGGUGGAGUUUUCGGAGGAGGAUACGGACGUCGCUUCGGAGGCGGUGGAGCUUUCAGCCAGCUUGGAGGAGUUGGAGGUUUCAACCGCCUUGGAGGCAUUGGUGGAGUUUUCGGAGGAGGAUACGGACGUCGCUUUGGAGGCGGUGGAGCUUUCAGCCAGCUUGGAGGAGUUGGAGGCUUCAACCGCCUUGGAGGCAUCGGCGGAGUUUUCGGAUCAGGUGGCCUGUUCCGUGGUGGGCUGACAGGCAGGCGCGGAGGAUAUGGCUUGUAAUAAUUCUAACAUCCGGAUAACUUGAAAAUAUUGCCCGUCAAUAUGUCGACUGCAAUUUAUUUACAGCCGACUUUGUUGUCGGAACUGUGCGUAUGUGUGUGAGUUAAAGCGCCGUGCGCUUGCACUCUAUAGUAUGCAUGUGUCUCUGCUGUUCUUUCAGUGUUAAGUCUUGCAAUAAAAUUGUUGAUUCUGUCGCA